This 438-nucleotide ribosomal RNA is filed under the name uncultured bacterium. Its description in RNAcentral is "bacterial SSU rRNA". It matches the Rfam family "Bacterial small subunit ribosomal RNA", at positions 366 to 793 of the family's 1533-position model. The record is from RNAcentral.
GCACAAUGGGCGCAAGCCUGAUUGCAGCCAUGCCGCGUGUAUGAAGAAGGCCUUCGGGUUGUAAAGUACUUUCAGCAGUGAGGAAGGUGGAUAUGUUAAUAGCAUAUUCAUUUGACGUUUAGCUGCAGAAGAAGCACCGGCUAACUCCGUGCCAGCAGCCGCGGUAAUACGGAGGGUGCGAGCGUUAAUCGGAAUUACUGGGCGUAAAGCGCAUGCAGGUGGUUUGUUAAGUCAGAUGUGAAAGCCCGGGGCUCAACCUCGGAAUUUGCAUUUGAAACUGGCAAACUAGAGUACUGUAGAGGGGGUAGAAUUUCAGGUGUAGCGGUGAAAAUGCGUAGAGAUCUGAAGGAAUACCGGUGGCGAAGGCGGCCCCCUGGACAGAUACUGACACUCAGAUGCGAAAGCGUGGGGAGCAAACAGGAUUAGUUACCCUGGUAG